UAUAAAUGAUUAAAAAGAGAGCGCAUGUAUUACAAAGUAAAAAACCUAUGUAAUAGUCUAUAUAUAUUCAAAAAUGAAACUAUAAAAAAUAGUACCCAAUGUACUCAAACAGUAAUAGCUGCUAAAACAAAAAGAAUAUUCCCAAUUCCAAAAAACAAAUGUAAAUAAAAAUUUCAGCGCUAAGUAGAUAAUCCCCUUAGAAAUAAAAAAGGUGCAU
This is a non-coding RNA of Pelobates cultripes (western spadefoot toad), 217 nucleotides long. The record is from the annotation of a GenBank genome assembly. Lineage: Eukaryota; Metazoa; Chordata; Amphibia; Anura; Pelobatidae.